Molecule: long non-coding RNA, 67 nt
Organism: Xiphophorus couchianus (Monterrey platyfish)
Lineage: Eukaryota; Metazoa; Chordata; Actinopteri; Cyprinodontiformes; Poeciliidae
Exons: 3
Source: RefSeq, a predicted model, not a curated record
GCCCAAAUUCUUAUAGUAAUAUAGUUACUUGACUGUGCUAUAAAAUAGCACAAUGUGGCUGGAAAAC